GGGGGGGACACGCUGGUGGCCUCCCCGUGAGCCAAACCCUUCCCUCUGCCCUCACCCCCCGUGUCGAGCCUGCUCAGCAUCACCCUAUUGAACUCCGCGUACUCGUCGAGGAUCACCGAGAUGUCCCCACCAGGGGGAAGCUUCUGGUUUGGAGAUGCUUUACUUGAUGAGACAGCUGCCUUUGCAAGCUUGUCUACCCUGUGGUAUUCGUGGUCGGAAGCACUGCGCGAGGACUUGUGCUUGCGAUGACUCUGCUGCUCCUUGGCAGAGUCAGUGGAUGAGCUGCAGGACAAAGCGAUCAUCCCGCCGUCCACGGGAAGGAAGGGAGGAAUACAGGAACCCAGAGCCAGACUCUCAUGUUCAGCCGGCAUGAGUUACACACAGUGACGUGGGCAGACCCCUCUGAAUGAACGAAACUCAACAGCAGGAUCCACCCUACACCCUGCCCAUGCAAGAGCACUGGCUAGAACUGCUCCAGGAACCUCCACGUGACAGCACAACCGAGGAAAACUGCCACGUAUCAGGAAGUCUAACAGCAUGUGGCAAUAACAGACCGAGAAAAUUGGAUAAACUGAGCCCAAGUGGCAAAACCAGUCUUGAAAGCCUCCACGAAGAGGAAAAAUAAAGACCAGAGACAGAUCUGAAAAGA
This is a long non-coding RNA of Numida meleagris (helmeted guineafowl), 649 nucleotides long. RefSeq lists it as uncharacterized. NCBI's taxonomy places the organism in Eukaryota, Metazoa, Chordata, Aves, Galliformes, Numididae. The transcript has 3 exons. The record is from RefSeq and is a predicted model, not a curated record.